RNAcentral lists this long non-coding RNA (418 nucleotides) under Panax ginseng (ginseng). RNAcentral's name for it is "long non-coding RNA (PGIN_LNC016603)". Lineage: Eukaryota; Viridiplantae; Streptophyta; Magnoliopsida; Apiales; Araliaceae. The record is from RNAcentral.
CUUCCUGGAAUUUAAGUAAUCACAUGCCAAGCACAUGUCUUCAGGGAAAUUCCAGAAAUACCCUUUAGUCAUUACAAUAAUGCCCAUAUCGCCCUGUCCUUUUAGCCACCAAUCCAAUCCCUCAAUCAAUUCUCAAAACGAGCUGCCUCCACGAGCCUUCUGCCUCGGGACCCGUCGAGGCUUCUCCCGGGUCUAGUCCCUUUAUUUCUGACUUAUCCGUUUAAUUAGGUUAUGCAAACCCUAAUUUGCACAUUUAAUGAGGCCGUGGAACCCUAAUUGUGCAUUUAAUUAGGUCAUAUGAACCCUAAUUUUGCACAUGGGCCCACAUAUUUAUAUUGAAAAGUGAAUUUGAGAUGCAUAUAUGGAUAGUUUGGUAUAUAUUUUGUGGAUGUAGUUAUUUUGUGGAUGCAUAUUGGGA